CCAAAGGCUCUUUUCAGAGCCAUCCACAUUUUCAAGUAAAAGAGC
Fukomys damarensis (Damara mole-rat) is the source of this 45-nucleotide non-coding RNA. The record is from Rfam. Lineage: Eukaryota; Metazoa; Chordata; Mammalia; Rodentia; Bathyergidae.